Molecule: unclassified non-coding RNA, 101 nt
Filed under: uncultured fungus
Lineage: Eukaryota; Fungi
Description: sequence contains ITS1
Source: RNAcentral
AUCUUUAAUAUCUUAAAAAAAAAAUAUAAAUUUAUAGAUUGAAAAUUUUUGAAUAAAGUAUAAAUAUUCUAAUGAUCCUUCCGCAGGUUCACCUACGGAAA